GAUGAACGCUGGCGGCGUGCCUAACACAUGCAAGUCGAGCGAUCUUCUUCGGAAGAGAGCGGCGGACGGGUGAGUAACGCGUGGGUAACCUGCCCUGUACACACGGAUAACAUACCGAAAGGUAUGCUAAUACGGGAUAACAUAAGAGAGUCGCAUGGCUAUCUUAUCAAAGCUUUUGCGGUACAGGAUGGACCCGCGUCUGAUUAGCUAGUUGGUAAGGUAACGGCUUACCAAGGCGACGAUUAGUAGCCGACCUGAGAGGGUGAUCGGCCACAUUGGAACUGAGACACGGUCCAAACUCCUACGGGAGGCAGCAGUGGGGAAUAUUGCACAAUGGGCGAAAGCCUGAUGCAGCAACGCCGCGUGAGCGAUGAAGGCCUUCGGGUCGUAAAGCUCUGUCCUCAAGGAAGAUAAUGACGGUACUUGAGGAGGAAGCCCCGGCUAACUACGUGCCAGCAGCCGCGGUAAUACGUAGGGGGCUAGCGUUAUCCGGAAUUACUGGGCGUAAAGGGUGCGUAGGCGGUCUUUCAAGUCAGAAGUGAAAGGCUACGGCUCAACCGUAGUAAGCUUUUGAAACUGUAAGACUUGGGUGCAGGAGAGGAGAGUGGAAUUCCUAGUGUAGCGGUGAAAUGCGUAGAUAUUAGGAGGAACACCAGUUGCGAAGGCG
Molecule: ribosomal RNA, 667 nt
Filed under: uncultured Clostridium sp.
Lineage: Bacteria; Bacillati; Bacillota; Clostridia; Eubacteriales; Clostridiaceae
Description: bacterial SSU rRNA
Rfam family: Bacterial small subunit ribosomal RNA
Source: RNAcentral